RNAcentral lists this ribosomal RNA (171 nucleotides) under Coniosporium sp. SL08581. Its description in RNAcentral is "5.8S ribosomal RNA". The stretch from base 34 to 171 matches the Rfam family "5.8S ribosomal RNA", at positions 1 to 138 of the family's 154-position model. Rfam says of the family: 5.8S ribosomal RNA (5.8S rRNA) is a component of the large subunit of the eukaryotic ribosome. It is transcribed by RNA polymerase I as part of the 45S precursor that also contains 18S and 28S rRNA. Lineage: Eukaryota; Fungi; Ascomycota; Dothideomycetes. The record is from RNAcentral.
UCAGUGUCGUCUGAACAAAAAUCUAAUUAUUAAAACUUUUAACAACGGAUCUCUUGGUUCUGGCAUCGAUGAAGAACGCAGCGAAAUGCGAUAAGUAAUGUGAAUUGCAGAAUUCAGUGAAUCAUCGAAUCUUUGAACGCACAUUGCGCCCCCUGGUAUUCCGGGGGGCAU